CUCACAAACGCCUAUAAUCUAUUGAAAAAAGAAAGAUGAUGCCAUGGAGGAGGAUGUAGUUGGCGAAAUCGAAGUCUUCUUCAAUUAGGUUUGGGAAAAAACGAUGUUCUGCUAUAAUAUGAGGUUGACGGUUUGUUUUGUUUAUUCCUUUCUGAAUAUGUUGUGGCGUUAACCAAGAAUGCUUCAGAGCUUAAGGGUAUGCGCGCUGUAGCCUGUACAGAGCUUAGGUUUCUGUUUCGCAAGUCUGGGGAAAAGGGUGGGACUCCUCAUUUCGACAAUGGACUUUGGAGGUAUUGUUAUGAACAGUUACUUAAAUCCUAUAUGUCUUAACGAGUCGUGCUAUACAGAAGUCUGCACACUACUUAAAAAUAUAUGAUUUUACUUUUUUAUUCUUAUAUUUCAUAUUUCUUGUUUGAAAAUGGUGUGCAGCGUGAGACUUAUUUUUAAAAUUUUUCAUAUUUUGACACUGCCAACUUCCUUAUUGGUUGUAUUUGUGUUGUAUGUUACCCAGUUAGAAGUAAAGAGGUGAUUUUGUAUUAGAAAGAGACAAAGGGCGAAGACUUAUACUUCUUACCUUCCCUAUGCAGACUCAAAACAAGCAAUAUGCUGUAUGGGUUUUUUAUCCCAUCUUCUAUAUUCCAGUAUAUUACUGAAUCUCAGAAUUUAUCAACAUCUAUGCCUAAAACUCCUUAUUGGUUGAAAGUAAUUGAAAGUGGUAUAAUUUUAAUAGGAGGUCUUAAUCACAUAUUUUUGUUCAGUAUGUCUACAAGCAAUUAUAUUAAGAAAUAUUCAAUCUCAGCUACUGAUACGGGAGAUUGAAAUGGAUGGUGUUUCUGAUGCAUGUCAGAAAUCAAAGGGUACAAGUUCAUUAAUCCCUGAUGAUGAUCAAAAUUUGGGAUUUUGCAGCUAUCAAAUAUGUAUGUACUUUUAAAUAUAAGUCGUCCAAGAUAUGGUAUAGAUGCAAAACCCAUCCAGACAACAAUGAUAUCAGCUAUAGUGAGUUCGUAAGUAUGUGCAUUACUAGGUGAGUGGCUACCUCAGGUCCUCAACCAUACAAGUAAAGAUGCGUGAAGAUUAUAUGCAUGGGAGGAAACGAACUGCGACUUUGAACAUAGUUUUUGGAGUUGCUGCCGCUAAGAUGGAAAGGCCAACUUCCAGAUUUAUUUUGAUGAAUUGUGAGCUGCUCAUGAACUAGCUUCAGCGAAGGUGAGAAAGGUUCUUUUGUAAACGUUAUGUUAUUGCACCUUAUUUCUGAUGUAUGUAACUGAUCAAUGUGGAUAACUCAUAUCAGUGAAAAGACUUUCCCAGUGCACUUGCACAUGACAGCUGCUUGUACCAUUGUCAA
This is a long non-coding RNA of Juglans microcarpa x Juglans regia, 1345 nucleotides long. RefSeq lists it as uncharacterized. The transcript has 2 exons. The record is from RefSeq and is a predicted model, not a curated record. NCBI's taxonomy places the organism in Eukaryota, Viridiplantae, Streptophyta, Magnoliopsida, Fagales, Juglandaceae.